RNAcentral lists this ribosomal RNA (440 nucleotides) under uncultured bacterium. RNAcentral's name for it is "bacterial SSU rRNA". It matches the Rfam family "Bacterial small subunit ribosomal RNA", at positions 338 to 770 of the family's 1533-position model. The record is from RNAcentral.
CCUACGGGAGGCAGCAGUGGGGAAUUUUGGACAAUGGGGGCAACCCUGAUCCAGCAAUGCCGCGUGUGUGAAGAAGGCCUUCGGGUUGUAAAGCACUUUUGUCCGGGAAGAAAUCGCACCUGAUAAUACCGGGUGUGGAUGACGGUACCGGAAGAAUAAGGACCGGCUAACUACGUGCCAGCAGCCGCGGUAAUACGUAGGGUCCAAGCGUUAAUCGGAAUUACUGGGCGUAAAGCGUGCGCAGGCGGUUGUGCAAGACCGAUGUGAAAUCCCCGGGCUUAACCUGGGAAUUGCAUUGGUGACUGCACGGCUAGAGUGUGUCAGAGGGGGGUAGAAUUCCACGUGUAGCAGUGAAAUGCGUAGAGAUGUGGAGGAAUACCGAUGGCGAAGGCAGCCCCCUGGGAUAACACUGACGCUCAUGCACGAAAGCGUGGGGAGCA